Molecule: ribosomal RNA, 407 nt
Filed under: uncultured bacterium
Lineage: Bacteria
Description: partial 16S ribosomal RNA
Rfam family: Bacterial small subunit ribosomal RNA
Source: RNAcentral
AGCGAACGCUGGCGGCAGGCUUAACACAUGCAAGUCGAGGGGAGCGGCAGACGGGUGAGUAACGCGUGGGAACGUACCUUUUGGUUCGGAACAACACAGGGCAACUUGUGCUAAUACCGGAUACCGAAAGAUCGGCCCGCGUCUGAUUAGCUAGUGGGUGAGGUAAUGGCUCACCAAGGAGACGCUCAGUAGCUGGUCUGAGAGGAUGAGCAGCCACAUUGGGACUGGGACACGGCCCAGACUCCUACGGGAGGCAGCAGUGGUGAAUAUUGGACAAGGGGGGCAACCUUGAUCCAGCCAUGCCUGGUGAGUGAUGAAGGCCCUAGGGUUGUAAAGCUCUUUUGUGCGGGAAGCGGUACCGCAAGAAUAAGCCCCGGCUAACUUCGUGCCAGCAGCCGCGGUAAUUC